UGGGGAAUUUUGGACAAUGGGGGCAACCCUGAUCCAGCCAUUCCGCGUGAGUGAAGAAGGCCUUCGGGUUGUAAAGCUCUUUUGUCCGGAACGAAACGGGUAGCGUGAAUAUCGCUGCCUACUGACGGUACCGGAAGAAUAAGCACCGGCUAACUACGUGCCAGCAGCCGCGGUAAUACGUAGGGUGCGAGCGUUAAUCGGAAUUACUGGGCGUAAAGCGUGCGCAGGCGGUUUUGUAAGCCAGAUGUGAAAUCCCCGGGCUAACCUGGGAAUGGCAUUUGGGACUGCAAGGCUUGAGUGCGGCAGAGGAGACUGGAAUUCCUGGUGUAGCAGUGAAAUGCGUAGAUAUCAGGAGGAAUACCGAUGGCGAAGGCAGGUCUCUGGGCUGACACUGACGCUCAUGCACGAAAGCGUGGGGAGCAAACAGGAUUAGAUACCC
RNAcentral lists this ribosomal RNA (439 nucleotides) under uncultured bacterium. RNAcentral describes it as "bacterial SSU rRNA". It matches the Rfam family "Bacterial small subunit ribosomal RNA", at positions 355 to 787 of the family's 1533-position model. The record is from RNAcentral.